This 277-nucleotide ribosomal RNA is filed under the name Thyridium curvatum. RNAcentral describes it as "Phialemoniopsis curvata partial 28S ribosomal RNA". It matches the Rfam family "Eukaryotic large subunit ribosomal RNA", at positions 351 to 648 of the family's 3401-position model. Lineage: Eukaryota; Fungi; Ascomycota; Sordariomycetes; Thyridiales; Thyridiaceae. The record is from RNAcentral.
GAGUGAUCGAAAGAUGAAAAGCACUUUGAAAAGAGGGUUAAAAAGUACGUGAAAUUGUUGAAAGGGAAGCGCUUAUGACCAGACUUGUGCCCUGCGGAUCAUCCAGCCUUCUGGCUGGUGCACUUCGCUUGGUUCAGGCCAGCAUCGGUUUUCUGAGGGGGAUAAAAGCUUCAGGGACGUGGCUCCUCCGGGAGCGUUAUAACCUGUUGCAAAAUACCCCUCGGGAGACCGAGGUUCGCGCAUCUGCAAGGAUGCUGGCGUAAUGGUCAUCAGCGAC